CAAAAUAGAGCUAGAAGUUGCAAAUGUCAUCGCCUAUGGGGCGCAGAUGAAGCCUUUCUUUGUCACCACUGAUCAGCUGUGAAAAGAGCAGAAGCUAGCCGGAAAAUCCGCAAGGUCCAUCGUCAGCACUGGCACUUAAGGAGAUAAAAGAUCCCCAUUAAAGAUCUCAUCAACAAUGUCCACUCCUCCUGUUCCUCUUUCUCUCACCAACUGUAGCCUUAUUUUUUCUUGAACUUAUAGCUUUUAUGGCCUCAAGGAGCGAUUAAUUGAAAACAGAGUCCUACAUCUUGCGAAAAUCAUGAUUCAUGUUUUGCUGUUCUAGCAACAAACAAAGCACAUAACAGAGUUUGAGGAAAUAUGAAUUUGGGGAUCAUUGGAAUCUUGGAAUCGAGGACCGUGCGAAGCCUCAGGUGUACAAUGAAGAGCACGAGAACAAGGAUCUUCAACAACGUGUCACCGCAGCAAGAAACAAAAAUUGAAGAACUGGCUAUCAAAAAAAUGGAACGGUGAUGGAAUCUGCUUCACGUCACGUGCCUAAAAGCAGGAAAAGAUUCUUUCUUGCUUCUUCUUCGUCCAUAUGCACACUGUUUCUGUUGUUAUUUAUCUAUUCUAAAGCGGGGUUAACACUGUUGGGCUUCAGUUUUCAACAUUAGAGUUUUUUUCUUUUGCUGAUUGCUUCAAGUAUUAAUUUUUUUGGUCGCUUUUGUCUUGCUGUUUAGGUUUCACACAUAUACAAAUGAGUUGCAGCUUAAAGUGUUGUCGUAAAUGGUUCUGUAAUUGGCGGGUAAAAAUAGGAAAAAUUGGAAGAGCUUGAGACAAUAGAUAAUGUUUCAGUCAUAUGCAUAGAUUUGCUGCAAAACAUGGAAAGUACGAGUAUAAUUGUACUUUUUGACGAAUGAAUCCUUGGUUUCGUUGUUAAAGAUUGUUCAUGAAGUAAGGCUGAAUUUGUUGUUUGUGGCAUCACUUGGAUUCUUUAAAUAUGGGUUUGUGACAAAUUUAUUAACUUCUCUUUAUGUUAUCCCAAUUUGAAACAUUUUUAUAUAGUUGUGGUUGUUUGGAAUAUUAGGUAAUCACUAAAAGUUGUGCAGUAUCUGUGAAAAUACAUGACUAAGGUAAUUAGCAACUAGAUUGUUUGAAAAUUUACUUGGCUAACAUUAUGUAUUGUUACUUCUGAAAUGGAGCUUCAACUGAUAGUAAGCUAGAGAUCUUCAGGUACCAGUCUUUAUUCAAUGAAUUGAAGCACCAUAUAUUUUUUUAGUACAUCUAAUUUUUUCCUGUUUAAUCAAAAUGGUUGACUUAA
Molecule: long non-coding RNA, 1300 nt
Organism: Arachis duranensis
Lineage: Eukaryota; Viridiplantae; Streptophyta; Magnoliopsida; Fabales; Fabaceae
Exons: 4
Source: RefSeq, a predicted model, not a curated record